GCCUGGGUGGCUCAGUCGGUUAAGUAUCUGACUUCAGCUCAGGUGAUGGUCAAAUGAUUCGUGGGUUCGAGCCCCAUAUUGGGCU
This 85-nucleotide transfer RNA is filed under the name Felis catus (domestic cat). It matches the Rfam family "tRNA". From Rfam's summary of the family: Transfer RNA (tRNA) molecules are approximately 80 nucleotides in length. Their secondary structure includes four short double-helical elements and three loops (D, anti-codon, and T loops). Further hydrogen bonds mediate the characteristic L-shaped molecular structure. tRNAs have two regions of fundamental functional importance: the anti-codon, which is responsible for specific mRNA codon recognition, and the 3' end, to which the tRNAs corresponding amino acid is attached (by aminoacyl-tRNA synthetases). tRNAs cope with the degeneracy of the genetic code in two manners: having more than one tRNA (with a specific anti-codon) for a particular amino acid; and 'wobble' base-pairing, i.e. permitting non-standard base-pairing at the 3rd anti-codon position. Lineage: Eukaryota; Metazoa; Chordata; Mammalia; Carnivora; Felidae. The record is from Rfam by way of RNAcentral.